UCCCUCACUAAUUUUCUUUUUCCGUAACCUCUCGCACGCGACUCUCACUCACUCACUUUCACUCAGACUUCUCUUCUCUUCUCUCUUCUAUUUUCAUUUUCUUUCUCUGGUUUUGACCUAAGGGGCUGCGUGCGGCGCCUCUCUCUCUCUCUCACCUCACCAAAGCUCAGAUCUUCAAUCGACCUCGGAUCUUUGAACAACAACAUCAGCGUCGCUCCUUCCUUCAUCGAUCUCUCGAUCUGUCAUCUGCCGCCAGCACGCACAGCACAAACCCUAUCAAUUCUAAUACUUGCACGCUUGAGGCAGCAGCGACAACCACCUCCCUUGCCGAAGAGCGACAUUGGCGUUUUGGUUGCUCAGGGUGAUGUAGGAAUUGAUAUGGACCCAAUUGAUCGCCCCUAGAGAAUUGGUAACCUCGGGGUGAUGUAGGGAAUCGGCAUCGACCCAAUUGAUUGCUCCAGAGGAUUGGUAACCUCAGGGUGAUGUAGAGAAUCGACAUGGACCCAAUUGAUCGCCCAAGAGAAUUGGUAAGCUAGGGAUGAUGUUGGAAUCUACAUGGACCCAAUUGAUUACCUCCAGGGGAUUGGUAACCUUAGGGUGAUGUUGGGAUCGUCAUGGAUCCAAUUGAUUGCCCCCAGGAGAUUGGUAACUCCCGAGGUGAUGUAGGAAUCGGCAUGGAUCUAAUGAUAUUGUUAAGAAAUUCAUAUGAACCAAGAUAGUUUGCGGAGUUUUGAAGCAUACCAUAUUUAUUGUGCUUUGAUAAUGACCAAGUGGUCGCCCAAGCACCAUUUCAUAGAGUGUCUUGGCUUUGGUACACACCUCUCCUUAUCUUCAAUUUAUCAUCAACUCUG
Molecule: long non-coding RNA, 851 nt
Organism: Prunus avium (sweet cherry)
Lineage: Eukaryota; Viridiplantae; Streptophyta; Magnoliopsida; Rosales; Rosaceae
Source: RefSeq, a predicted model, not a curated record